This 236-nucleotide ribosomal RNA is filed under the name uncultured bacterium. RNAcentral describes it as "partial 16S ribosomal RNA". It matches the Rfam family "Bacterial small subunit ribosomal RNA", at positions 118 to 347 of the family's 1533-position model. The record is from RNAcentral.
UGAGCAAUCUGCCCUUCUCAUCGGAAUAAGCGUUGGAAACGACGUCUAAUGCCGAAUACGACCUCUUUUCGCAUGAUCGGAGGUGGAAAGCUCCGGCGGAGAAGGAUGAGCUCGCGGCCUAUCAGCUAGUUGGUGUGGGUAAUGGCCCACCAAGGCGACGACGGGUAGCCGGCCUGAGAGGGUGACCCGGCCACACGUGGGACUGAGACACGGCCCAGACCUCCGUACGGGAGCAG